UACAGAGGUCCCAAGCGUUGUUCGGAUUCACUGGGCGUAAAGGGUGCGUAGGUGGUGGGGUAAGUCGGAUGUGAAAGCCCUCGGCUCAACCGGGGAAGUGCACUCGAAACUGCAUGGCUAGAGUCUCGGAGAGGAUCGUGGAAUUCUCGGUGUAGAGGUGAAAUUCGUAGGUAUCGAGAGGAACACCGGUGGCGAAGGCGGCGAUCUGGACGAUGACUGACGCUGAGACGCGAAAGCGUGGGGAGCAAACAGG
Molecule: ribosomal RNA, 253 nt
Filed under: uncultured bacterium
Lineage: Bacteria
Description: partial 16S ribosomal RNA
Rfam family: Bacterial small subunit ribosomal RNA
Source: RNAcentral